GACGAACGCUGGCGGCGUGCUUAACACAUGCAAGUCGAACGGAAAGGCCCCCAUCUUGGUGGGGGUGCUCGAGUGGCGAACGGGUGAGUAACACGUGGGUGAUCUGCCCUGUACUUCGGGAUAAGCUUGGGAAACUGGGUCUAAUACCGGAUAGGACCAUGGUUUAGUGUCUCAUGGUGGAAAGAUUAUUGUUUUGGUGCAGGAUGAGCUCGCGGCCUAUCAGCUUGUUGGUGGGGUAAUGGCCAACCAAGGCGUCGACGGGUAGCCGGCCUGCGAGGGUGGCCGGCCUCGUUGGGACUGAGGUACGGCCCAGACUCCUACGGGAGGCAGCAGUGGGGAAUAUUGCACGAUGGGCGCAAGCCUGAUGCAGCGACGCCGCGUGGGGGAUGACGGCCUUCGGGUUGUAAACUCCUUUCGUUAGGGACGAAGCCGCACUUUUUUUGGGUGUGGUGACGGUACCUUUGUUAAGAAGCACCGGCUAACUACGUG
Molecule: ribosomal RNA, 489 nt
Filed under: uncultured bacterium
Lineage: Bacteria
Description: partial 16S ribosomal RNA
Rfam family: Bacterial small subunit ribosomal RNA
Source: RNAcentral